RNAcentral lists this long non-coding RNA (493 nucleotides) under Gossypium raimondii (Peruvian cotton). RNAcentral's name for it is "long non-coding RNA (GRAI_LNC006277)". The record is from RNAcentral. Lineage: Eukaryota; Viridiplantae; Streptophyta; Magnoliopsida; Malvales; Malvaceae.
CGGCGUAUAGCGUUGGCAACAAUAUGAAGGUGUUAAUGGAGUUAAGGUUUUUAUUGAGAGUACAAGAAGAAAAAGAAUGGAAGAAUAAGGGUGGGGGUUUCGGGCUUGAGGGUUGUUUUCUCUUUUUUUUUUAGUUUGGGUUUUUUUUCUUUUUUUUCUUGGGCCACAUUUGGCCGUUUGGCCCUUUUUCUCUUUUUUUUUUCUUAUUUUUUUGGGUUAAUUUGGGCUUGUUUUGGGUUUGAGGUGUUGGGUUGGUUUUUGGGUUUGUGUGUGUAUGUUUUUUUAUUUGGGUUGGUGUGGGGUUUGGGGUAUUAGGUUGGUUUUGGGGUUUUUAUUUUGUAGGUUAUGUGGAUUUGGGUUAGGUUUGGUCAUGUGAAGAAAAAUGGUAGCACUAAGCAUGGCGUGUCCAUGCAACGAUUGGGACCCGACUUUCGAAAAAAUGAUAGCCUCCACUAAUAUUCUUGGAAAAAAAAUAUGUUAAAAUAGAUUAAAU